CAGAGAGGAUUUACAGGAAUUGGAGGAGAGGUGAAGCAACAACGGCUCUGCAACAACCGAUGCCAUAACCUACUGCCAAGUAAAUUAAGAAGGGCCGUGUCGCGGGGGUAGCAGGCCAAGCAAAGCACCCCAGAUGUGCCUCUCCCCAGCAACGCUUUGCAGCUCCUCCUGGGGGACCCCAAGGUGUUCCCAUGCAAGAUGUCCGAGCUCCUUAUCCUAUCUCUAAGGUUGAGCCCAGCCAUGCCAUGGAGAAAACUAAUUUUGGCCACGUGUAUAUGCGAUCUCAUUCUUUCGGUCACUUCCCUGUGCCACUCCACAGGCAGCCCAGACAGCUCAACAA
This is a long non-coding RNA of Epinephelus moara (kelp grouper), 340 nucleotides long. RefSeq lists it as uncharacterized. The record is from RefSeq and is a predicted model, not a curated record. Lineage: Eukaryota; Metazoa; Chordata; Actinopteri; Perciformes; Serranidae. The transcript is spliced from 3 exons.